UGCAGUCGAACGGUAACAGGAGAAAGCUUGCUUUCUUGCUGACGAGUGGCGGACGGGUGAGUAAUGCUUGGGGAUCUGGCUUAUGGAGGGGGAUAACGACGGGAAACUGUCGCUAAUACCGCGUAGAGUCGAGAGACGAAAGUGCGGGACCGCAAGGCCGCAUGCCAUAGGAUGAGCCCAAGUGGGAUUAGGUAGUUGGUGGGGUAAUGGCCUACCAAGCCGACGAUCUCUAGCUGGUCUGAGAGGAUGACCAGCCACACCGGGACUGAGACACGGCCCGGACUCCUACGGGAGGCAGCAGUGGGGAAUAUUGCGCAAUGGGGGCAACCCUGACGCAGCCAUGCCGCGUGAAUGAAGAAGGCCUUCGGGUUGUAAAGUUCUUUCGGUGACGAGGAAGGCGUGAUGUUUAAUAAGCAUCACGAUUGACGUUAAUCACAGAAGAAGCACCGGCUAACUCCGUGCCAGCAGCCGCGGUAAUACGGAGGGUGCGAGCGUUAAUCGGAAUAACUGGGCGUAAAGGGCACGCAGGCGGCUAUUUAAGUGAGGUGUGAAAUCCCCGGGCUUAACCUGGGAAUUGCAUUUCAGACUGGGUAGCUAGAGUACUUUAGGGAGGGGUAGAAUUCCACGUGUAGCGGUGAAAUGCGUAGAGAUGUGGAGGAAUACCGAAGGCGAAGGCAGCCCCUUGGGAAUGUACUGACGCUCAUGUGCGAAAGCGUGGGGAGCAAACAGGAUUAGAUACC
RNAcentral lists this ribosomal RNA (740 nucleotides) under Aggregatibacter segnis. Its description in RNAcentral is "bacterial SSU rRNA". It matches the Rfam family "Bacterial small subunit ribosomal RNA", at positions 56 to 786 of the family's 1533-position model. Lineage: Bacteria; Pseudomonadati; Pseudomonadota; Gammaproteobacteria; Pasteurellales; Pasteurellaceae. The record is from RNAcentral.